Molecule: unclassified non-coding RNA, 209 nt
Filed under: soil metagenome
Description: partial contains 5.8S ribosomal RNA, internal transcribed spacer 2, and large subunit ribosomal RNA
Source: RNAcentral
AACCAUUCUCACCUGCGGCUAGACCUGCGGAAGGAUCAUUACCGAGUUUACAACUCCCAAACCCCUGUGAACAUACCUAUACGUUGCCUCGGCGGAUCAGCCCGCGCCCCGUAAAACGGGACGGCCCGCCCGAGGACCCCUAAACUCUGUUUUUAGUGGAACUUCUGAGUAAAACAAACAAAUAAAUCAAAACUUUUAGCAACGGAUCU